This is a long non-coding RNA of Alligator mississippiensis (American alligator), 1975 nucleotides long. RefSeq lists it as uncharacterized. Lineage: Eukaryota; Metazoa; Chordata; Crocodylia; Alligatoridae. The transcript has 4 exons. The record is from RefSeq and is a predicted model, not a curated record.
CUUCGCCUAGACAAAUGCUACCGUGGAGCUCGGCGGAGCGCCGCGCGCCGCGGAUUGUGCGGCCUAGAGCCGGCCUUUGGGGCGUGAAAAGCACUCCUUUGCCCCUUCGCGAGGCGGAAGCCGUCACAUCCGGGGGGGAAAAAAAGACUCAAUGAAAAUAUUUACAUUCUUCCGCGAGCUCGCUCUUCCCACUCUCCAUCACUCCCUGCAUCCUGCUGUUAUGAAUUUUGGAGCAGCCUGUUUUCUCUCCGAGUCUGAGACUGAUUUUAUUGAAAUAGCUGACGACCGUGAUGGUAGCAGUGCCACAGACAUGCUGAUUCUACACCAUCUCAGGAAUCCCCUGCACCAAGGAUAUUCCCCAAGAGCAAGUGGCUUCAUGCUCUUGCUAAACAGCCCCCAAAGUGAGCGUGUGAGAGCUCGAUCCACAGGCUCCCAGCACCUUCGCUGCCUUACCCAUGCUGUAUUUAAAACAGAGGAUGAAGAUUUCAAGGCUGGAGUAGCUGCACCAGACACCUGCAGGAAAGUGAAUCGUGAGCACAAGGAGGGGUGAGAAAGUGAAGAGCAAAGCCUGAGACACUAAAUAUGCCUCAUUAGGAAGUGGCACUCAAGCAAGGCUGCAGGCAAAGAGCUUUCUCUUUAGAGAUUUCUUCCUCUGCGGGCCCGUUUAAUUGCCAGGGCCUUUUCUCCAGGCCAGGUAUCUCCCACACUCGUCUGAAAUGGAUUUUUACUGGGCCAGGAUCAGGAAUUCAGGAGAGGAAUGACUUCAGUAGGAGCCCAGUCUUGCUAAUGGUAUCAGUAGUGGUGACUGGAUGCUGCUACAGUAGUAAAAAGACAAGUCCUAAAUAAUCAUUACUCAUGCCUUGUGCAUAUUUCUGGGUAUAAUUAAGAGUGUCAUCAUCACCUGCCUUCUGCUUUUGGCUCUGGGGGCUGCUUUAUGCCCAGCUGUGCUUGCUCUGACCUCCUUUCCCCCCCUUUGGCCAACCCCUGCCCCAUGUGGACUCGCUGUCCCAUCCCCAUCUCCUCUGGGACUCUUGCCUUCCUCUUGUUUGGGAGCCCUGAAUCCUCGUCCCCAGGGAGUCUGCCUCAGGUAGGCCCCCAGCUGCUGAUUUGGUGCCACCUUUCCUGCUGCUGUUUGGCCCUGGCAUUGCCAUGCCAUCUAGGAGUUCCUCUAUCAGGCCCGGAUCCCAAAAAUCCAGCUCAGAUUUAGAUGCGUAAGAUCUUUCAACCCAAUGCAGUCAGUGACCUCCAGCGAGAGCUGUGGACUAUAGAGCAGUCACUCCCAAAGGAAAUGUCAGGUAGCAGCAACUUGGUUUUAUGCUUGUAUCCCUAAUGGCUUGAUAGCAAGCAUGAUUCCAGCUGAGGCCUUUGGCACAACUGCAACAUCAAUAUUUCCUUUGACUGUUUAGGAGAAAUAGGAGCAUGCAAACCAUGGUAGCUGAGCCUGGUUAUUACAUUGUCACUGAACUUGGGAAUAUGGGACUUGCCAAAUACAAGGAAAUAAAAAACUAGGGUUUUGACGUCUGGUGAUCAUUAGACAUCCCGCAGUACUCUUUGCUGUUGGGAGGGCAUUAAUGCCACUCUCCUGGCCAGACUAGGACCCAGGUGGAUGGACCCCUCUGCCCUACAUCUGGAAAGCUGGGGCAAGAGGAGAAGAGGAACACUUAUUCCAACAGCUGUGCAGUGUCACGGGAAACGUCAAUGCACAGCUGCUAGGUUUCACCCUAGAGCCAGCUGCAAGUGUUCAGACAUCUGUCCUCUGUGUACAGGCAGUCAAAUGGAUGGCAAACUGAACAGAUCUACCCCACAGAAAUCAAUUCCAUGUGGCAGGUAGGGAGAUUAGAUGCUAUUGGCAAACUAUGGAGCAGGGACAGAUGCUUACGUUGGGGCAUGGACAGCACCUUGCACGGUGCCGUCCUGAUCUGGGUUACGGCCCCAGAGCUGAUGGAGUACAAAUAACAAUGAUGGCGCUGAUCAA